RNAcentral lists this ribosomal RNA (229 nucleotides) under uncultured bacterium. RNAcentral's name for it is "partial 16S ribosomal RNA". It matches the Rfam family "Bacterial small subunit ribosomal RNA", at positions 568 to 796 of the family's 1533-position model. The record is from RNAcentral.
CACGUAGGCGGAGAAGUAAGUGUCUUGUGAAAGCCCCCGGCUCAACCGGGGAAUUGCUCGGCAAACUACUUCUCUUGAGGCAGGCAGGGGUACAUGGAACUCUAGGUGGAGCGGUGAAAUGCGUAGAUAUCUAGAGGAACGCCCGUGGAGAAAUCGGUGUACUGGGCCUGAUCUGACGCUGAGGUGCGAAAGCGUGGGUAGCGAACAGGAUUAGAUACCCUGGUAGUCC